AGCGAACGCUGGCGGCAGGCCUAACACAUGCAAGUCGAACGGACCCUUCGGGGUUAGUGGCGGACGGGUGAGUAACACGUGGGAACGUGCCUUUAGGUUCGGAAUAGCUCCUGGAAACGGGUGGCAAUGCCGAAUGUGCCCUUCGGGGGAAAGAUUUAUCGCCUUUAGAGCGGCCCGCGUCUGAUUAGCUAGUUGGUGAGGUAAUGGCUCACCAAGGCGACGAUCAGUAGCUGGUCUGAGAGGAUGACCAGCCACAUUGGGACUGAGACACGGCCCAAACUCCUACGGGAGGCAGCAGUGGGGAAUCUUGCGCAAUGGGAGAAAGCCUGACGCAGCCAUGCCGCGUGGAUGAUGAAGGUCUUAGGAUUGUAAAAUCCUUUCACCGGUGAAGAUAAUGACUGUAGCCGGAGAAGAAGCCCCGGCUAACUUCGUGCCAGCCGCCGCGGUAA
RNAcentral lists this ribosomal RNA (449 nucleotides) under uncultured bacterium. RNAcentral's name for it is "partial 16S ribosomal RNA". It matches the Rfam family "Bacterial small subunit ribosomal RNA", at positions 29 to 523 of the family's 1533-position model. The record is from RNAcentral.